This 326-nucleotide unclassified non-coding RNA is filed under the name Hevea brasiliensis (rubber tree). The record is from RNAcentral. Lineage: Eukaryota; Viridiplantae; Streptophyta; Magnoliopsida; Malpighiales; Euphorbiaceae.
GAAGAAUCAGAAGAAGAAAUCUGAAUCAACCAACAAAAGUGAUCCAUCUUCUAAGGUAGAUGCACAUUCUUUACCAUUCAAGUUAACUUUUUACCACAAAAGGAAUGUUUUGAAUCCAAGCAGGGUUCGGAAUUUUUUGCUUGUUUGACUGCUGUUUUCUAGUAGCUCUAUCUACAAGAGUCUUUUCCGGCUGAGUGUAUAACUUCUCAAUUUAACUGGAAAUGGCUUAUUUGUGUGCUCAAUGACAAAAUGUACCAACAGACAUUUAUCAACUGCUCAUCAAAAUUGAAAACUUUAUUCUUCAUGUUCAAUUUGAACUGAUUAUU